GUAUUGCUACGUAAUUACAUUAAAACAUCCUUUUAUUACAUCAUGACAUUUGUUGAUUCUGUGUCACUGCUGCUCUGAAUUAUCAUGCAGAGAUGUUGCACUGUGAUAGAUAAACUGCUAAGUAAUGCCAGGCCAUCAUUAUUACUACCUCAUCAUUUCACUAAAUUUAUUUCAUUUGAUAGUGCCUCUAUUUCUUCUUACCAGAUAAUAGGGAGGAUUUCUUUGUCCCUCUCCUGAUGCGGGAGAGAGUGUCUUCAGAAGAUUUGCUCUAUUUCCUGAUCAUUCUCCCAAAGAAUUGCAAUUUAUCACAAAGGCAUAAAUUUGCAAGCACCACAGGGGGCAUGAUGCUUACUGUUUUCCCUCUUCCUGAAUUCCGGCACAAAAGGAGAUGCAAGCAGAUCCAAAUACAGAUGGUUUGGAACAAAGUGAUGACCUGUAGACAGUGGCAAAUGAUGCAUGAAGAAGCAACUAAUUGGAGUACAAAUACUUACAUUAAGAAGACAUCACAAUGAGACUGCACAAGAGGAACACCAGUAUCCUGAUCAAGAGAUAUAGUGGGAGACAAUAAGCAGGAAUAUGUCAAUAGAGGGCAGAAUUAGAGGAUCACUGCAAGAGAGAAUGCAAAGAGUUUUUUCACUCUCAGUAUUUACAAAAACUCACCCCAAAAAACAUCUCUCUCCAAAUUGUGAUAUCACCAAUGUAGUAGAUGGCAAAAUAUUGAUGAGACAUGAAGGCAUCAAAAUUCCAGAUCAUCUAAAUAAAUUCUUUCAGAACCUGAAUAUCAGUCAA
Long non-coding RNA from Pseudopipra pipra, 789 nucleotides. RefSeq lists it as uncharacterized. The record is from RefSeq and is a predicted model, not a curated record. The transcript is spliced from 2 exons. NCBI's taxonomy places the organism in Eukaryota, Metazoa, Chordata, Aves, Passeriformes, Pipridae.